RNAcentral lists this RNase P RNA (374 nucleotides) under Phytoactinopolyspora mesophila. Its description in RNAcentral is "Bacterial RNase P class A". It matches the Rfam family "Bacterial RNase P class A". Rfam says of the family: Ribonuclease P (RNase P) is a ubiquitous endoribonuclease, found in archaea, bacteria and eukarya as well as chloroplasts and mitochondria. The record is from Rfam by way of RNAcentral. Lineage: Bacteria; Bacillati; Actinomycetota; Actinomycetes; Jiangellales; Jiangellaceae.
CGAGCUGGCCGGGCGGCCGCGUCGGCACCCCCGGGUGCCGCCGAGGAAAGUCCGGACUCCACAGGGCAGGGUGGUGGGUAACACCCACCCGGGGUGACCCGCGGGACAGUGCCACAGAAAGCAGACCGCCUGCGCGCUCCGGCGCGCUGGUAAGGGUGAAACGGUGGUGUAAGAGACCACCAGCGCCCUGGGCGACCAGGGCGGCUAGGUAAACCCCACCCGGAGCAAGGUCAGACAGGGAACGUUCGAGGGCUGCCCGCCCGAGUUCCCGGGUAGACCGCACGAGACCGCCGGCAACGGCGGUCCUAGAUGGAUGGUCGCCGCUCCCGGUCCGCCGGGAGGCACAGGAUCCGGCUUAUAGGCCAGCUCGUCCU